GACGAACGCUGGCGGCGUGCCUAAUACAUGCAAGUAGAACGCUGAAGAGAGGAGCUUGCUCUUCUUGGCUGAGUUGCGAACGGGUGAGUAACGCGUAGGUAACCUGCCUGGUAGCGGGGGAUAACUAUUGGAAACGAUAGCUAAUACCGCAUAAAAUGGAUUAUCGCAUGAUAAUCCAUUGAAAGGUGCAAAUGCAUCACUACCAGAUGGACCUGCGUUGUAUUAGCUAGUUGGUGGGGUAACGGCUCACCAAGGCGACGAUACAUAGCCGACCUGAGAGGGUGAUCGGCCACACUGGGACUGAGACACGGCCCAGACUCCUACGGGAGGCAGCAGUAGGGAAUCUUCGGCAAUGGACGGAAGUCUGACCGAGCAACGCCGCGUGAGUGAAGAAGGUUUUCGGAUCGUAAAGCUCUGUUGUAAGAGAAGAACGAGUGUGAGAGUGGAAAGUUCACACUGGGACGGGAUCGUACCAGAGAGGGACGGCUAACUACGU
This 496-nucleotide ribosomal RNA is filed under the name uncultured bacterium. RNAcentral describes it as "partial 16S ribosomal RNA". It matches the Rfam family "Bacterial small subunit ribosomal RNA", at positions 28 to 506 of the family's 1533-position model. The record is from RNAcentral.